CACCUGGUGGCACAAGGUGUGUGUCUGCAGUAUGUAGUUGAUCCAGCUAUGUUAUGCAGAAGGUCCCUGUUCGAUUCAGGGUCAGGUGA
Non-coding RNA from Mycena latifolia, 89 nucleotides. NCBI's taxonomy places the organism in Eukaryota, Fungi, Basidiomycota, Agaricomycetes, Agaricales, Mycenaceae. The record is from the annotation of a GenBank genome assembly.